GACGAACGCUGGCGGCGUGCUUAACACAUGCAAGUCGAACGGAAAGGCCCUGCUCUUGUGGGGUGCUCGAGUGGCGAACGGGUGAGUAACACGUGAGUAACCUGCCCUUGACUUUGGGAUAACUUCAGGAAACUGGGGCUAAUACCGGAUAGGAGCUCCUGCUGCAUGGUGGGGGUUGGAAAGUUUCGGCGGUUGGGGAUGGACUCGCGGCUUAUCAGCUUGUUGGUGGGGUAGUGGCUUACCAAGGCUUUGACGGGUAGCCGGCCUGAGAGGGUGACCGGCCACCAUGGGACUGAGAUACGGACCAGACUCCUACGGGAGGCAGCAGUGGGGAAUAUUGCACAAUGGGCGGAAGCCUGAUGCAGAAACGCCGCGUGCGGGAUGACGGCCUUCGGGUUGUAAACCGCUUUCGCCUGUGACGAAGCGUGAGUGACGGUAAUGGGUAAAGAAGCACCGGCUAACUACGUG
This 468-nucleotide ribosomal RNA is filed under the name uncultured bacterium. Its description in RNAcentral is "partial 16S ribosomal RNA". It matches the Rfam family "Bacterial small subunit ribosomal RNA", at positions 28 to 507 of the family's 1533-position model. The record is from RNAcentral.